RNAcentral lists this long non-coding RNA (322 nucleotides) under Hordeum vulgare. Its description in RNAcentral is "long non-coding RNA (HVUL_LNC010789)". The record is from RNAcentral. Lineage: Eukaryota; Viridiplantae; Streptophyta; Magnoliopsida; Poales; Poaceae.
AGCUGUUCCUCCGGUACGACACCUUCACGGCCAAAGUCGGCCUCGACCUUCUCGGCACCAAGGUUGAGUUCACCGGCGUCACCAAGGCAACGUCCGGUGUGGCAGACGCUGUUUAAAUCCUUCACCGGACGGCCAUCGGUGACAAAGGGAUCAACGCAGGGCAGCAACGAUCCUUACACCGUCAUCACGUACGUACGUACGUGCCUCGCUAUAUCUACCUUAGUAGUGUACGUACGAGUCAGUCAUGCAUGUGCAUGCAUCUUGUUCGGUUGCUUCGCAGCAUUGUGCCCUCGUGUAUGUGUGCGUGUGUUGUGUUUACUUU